This 404-nucleotide ribosomal RNA is filed under the name uncultured bacterium. Its description in RNAcentral is "bacterial SSU rRNA". It matches the Rfam family "Bacterial small subunit ribosomal RNA", at positions 29 to 422 of the family's 1533-position model. The record is from RNAcentral.
AAUGAACGCUGGCGGCGCGCCUAAUACAUGCAAGUCGAGCGAGAAGACGUAGCAAUACGUUUGUAAAGCGGCGAACGGGUGAGGAAUACAUGGGUAACCUACCCUCGAGUGGGGAAUAACUAGCCGAAAGGUUAGCUAAUACCGCGUACGCUCCUUGGACUUCGGUUCAGGGAGGAAAGCGAUACCGUGGGUAUCGCGCUCUUGGUUGGGCUCAUGUCCUAUCAGCUUGUUGGUGAGGUAACGGCUCACCAAGGCUUCGACGGGUAGCUGGUCUGAGAGGACGAUCAGCCACACUGGCACUGCGACACGGGCCAGACUCCUACGGGAGGCAGCAGUAAGGAAUAUUGCGCAAUGGGCGAAAGCCUGACGCAGCGACGCCGCGUGGGGGAGUGAAGUACUUCGGA